UACGUAGGGAGCAAGCGUUGUCCGGAAUCAUUGGGCGUAAAGCGCGCGUAGGCGGCCCUGUAAGUCCGUUGUGAAAGUCAAAGGCUCAACCUUUGAAAGCCGAUGGAUACUGCAGGGCUAGAGUCCGGAAGAGGCGAGUGGAAUUCCUGGUGUAGUGGUGAAAUGCGUAGAGAUCCGGAGGAACACCAGUGGCGAAGGCGACACGCUGGGUCAUACCUGACGCUAAAACGCGACAGCAUGGGGAGCGAACGGG
RNAcentral lists this ribosomal RNA (253 nucleotides) under uncultured prokaryote. Its description in RNAcentral is "partial 16S ribosomal RNA". It matches the Rfam family "Bacterial small subunit ribosomal RNA", at positions 524 to 776 of the family's 1533-position model. The record is from RNAcentral.